GAUGAAGAACGUAGUGAAAUGCGAUAAGUAAUGUGAAUUGCAGAAUUCAGUGAAUCAUCGAAUCUUUGAACGCACAUUGCGCCCGCCAGUAUUCUGGCGGGCAUGCCUGUUCGAGCGUCAUUUCAACCAUCAAGCCCCAGGCUUGUGUUGGGGACCUGCGGCUGCCGCAGGCCCUGAAAACCAGUGGCGGGCUCGCUAGUCACACCGAGCGCAGUAAUACAUCUCGCUUUGGGCGUGCGGCGGGUUCUUGCCGUUAAACACCCCCUUUUUACCAAGGUUGACCUCGGAUCAGGUAGGAAUACCCGCUGAACUUAAGCAUAUCAAUAAGCGGAGGA
RNAcentral lists this unclassified non-coding RNA (335 nucleotides) under soil metagenome. Its description in RNAcentral is "partial contains 5.8S ribosomal RNA, internal transcribed spacer 2, and large subunit ribosomal RNA". The stretch from base 1 to 120 matches the Rfam family "5.8S ribosomal RNA", at positions 35 to 154 of the family's 154-position model. The record is from RNAcentral.